CCUACGGGAGGCAGCAGUGGGGAAUAUUGCACAAUGGGGGAAACCCUGAUGCAGCGACGCCGCGUGAGUGAAGAAGUAUUUCGGUAUGUAAAGCUCUAUCAGCCGGGAAGAAAAUGACGGUACCUGAUUAAGAAGUCCCGGCUAAAUACGUGCCAGCCGCCGCGGUAAUACGUAGGGGGCAAGCGUUAUCCGGAUUUACUGGGUGUAGAGGGAGCGUAGACGGCAGCACAAGUCUGGAGUGAAAUGCCGGGGCUUAACCCCGGAAGUGCUUUGGAAACUGUGCAGCUAGAGUGCAGGAGAGGUAAGUGGAAUUCCUAGUGUAGCGGUGAAAUGCUUAGAUAUUAGGAGGAACACCAGUGGCGAAGGCGGCUUACUGGACUGUAACUGACGUUGAGGCUCGAAAGCGUGGGGAGCAAACAGGAUUAGAUACCCUUGUAGUC
RNAcentral lists this ribosomal RNA (440 nucleotides) under uncultured bacterium. Its description in RNAcentral is "partial 16S ribosomal RNA". It matches the Rfam family "Bacterial small subunit ribosomal RNA", at positions 338 to 795 of the family's 1533-position model. The record is from RNAcentral.